Mustela erminea (ermine) is the source of this 1451-nucleotide long non-coding RNA. RefSeq lists it as uncharacterized. The record is from RefSeq and is a predicted model, not a curated record. NCBI's taxonomy places the organism in Eukaryota, Metazoa, Chordata, Mammalia, Carnivora, Mustelidae. The transcript has 2 exons.
GUUGGCCUGAUACCUCGCUUACAGAGUUCCCAGCAGCCUCACCAGGGCCUUCUCCGGACUCCACCAGACCGGUGGACGACAAACGCUGGAGUGACGGGGUAUCAGGUCCUCCUCUUUAACAAUGACUGAUCAGUCUGUACUCCAGUCACUGCAGGCAUUACAGUGUCUCUAGCCCACACGGGGAUCCUAACUGCCCACACUGAGAUGGAGACGGAGCUGGAACCACAUCCUUACCAACCCAGGGACUUAGUUUGGAUGCGCUGCCGCCAAGUGGAAACUUGGAGCCUGGCUGGAAGGGACCCUACAGCGUGAUCCUGACCCCUCCCACCCCUCUCAAUGUAGGUUGAUGGCAUUGGGCCUUGGGUCCACCACUCCCACGUGUGCCAGCCUACCCCACCAGAACAGAGACAAGCCAGAGAGUGGACCGCGUGGCAGCACCCUGAUAAUCCCCUGAAACUGAGGAUCUCUAGACCUCAGGAGCAUACCAAAUCUUCUGCCCAGCCCGAUGAUGAAAUGGCAAUUGAUCCUGACCCUGUUCAACAGCUGGAGAGAGACCCACAUGGGAACCAACCCUCAUCAACCUUAGAAGCAGACAUGGAUCCUAACGGAUGGACAAACUGGGGGACCAUGUGCUGCGCUAGGAGAAGAAUGCUGUUUUUACGCUGACCAUUCAGGAGUAGUAAAGGAAUCCAUGGCCAAGGUAAGAGAAGGAUUAGCUAAGAGAAAAAGACAAAGAGAGGCACAGGAGAACUGGUUUGAGGCUUGGUUUAAUUAAGUUUCCCUGGCUCUCCCUCCACCCUAGUUUCUACCUUAGUUGGGCCAUUUAGUCUACUUGUACUCAUUUUAAAUUUUGGCCCCUGCAUUCUAAACAAACUUACUAAUUUUGUAAAGGACCAUGUUAAUACCAUCCAACUCCUGGUCUUAAGACAACAAUAUGAAAAGUUGUCCACUCCUGAGGGCCCCCACGACUGCCCUACAAAUGACCAAGAUUCCUCAUUAUGAAGAACUAAAAGGGGGGAACAACUAAAGUUGUUCAUUAUGAACAACUAAAGAGUGGGUUAGCAUAAAUACAGCCAUCUUAGCUUGGGCAGCCAUCUCAGGCCCAAGGGCUGAACUUUCCCCUAUUUUAGUUCUAGGGACCCUCACCCUGCUUUAGUUCCAAGAAAAUACCCCACUCUACAACACCCCAGCAGCAGCUAAUCAGCUUAAACCACCAGGGCAGCUAAGCGGUUGCACCACGGGGACCAGAUGUUGAAAAGAGCUUAUCUUACUAAACCACCAGGGGGCGCAAGCCAAAAGUAUGUAUGGAAAAUUACUGAGUUGGAUGUUCUAAAAAAACGCUAUAUAAACCCUUGGCUUUGAGUGCUCCGGGUCCUUGUAGAAACCCACUGCGUCAGGCAGAUACUCAGACCCCAGCUAGCUGGAAAUAAACCUCGCUGUGUGAUUUGCAU